AGUGAACGCUGGCGGUAGGCCUAACACAUGCAAGUCGAACGGCAGCACAGUAAGAGCUUGCUCUUACGGGUGGCGAGUGGCGGACGGGUGAGGAAUACAUCGGAAUCUACUUUUUCGUGGGGGAUAACGUAGGGAAACUUACGCUAAUACCGCAUACGACCUACGGGUGAAAGCAGGGGAUCUUCGGACCUUGCGCGAUUGAAUGAGCCGAUGUCGGAUUAGCUAGUUGGCGGGGUAAAGGCCCACCAAGGCGACGAUCCGUAGCUGGUCUGAGAGGGUGAUCAGCCACACUGGAACUGAGACACGGUCCAGACUCCUACGGGAGGCAGCAGUGGGGAAUAUUGGACAAUGGGCGCAAGCCUGAUCCAGCCAUACCGCGUGGGUGAAGAAGGGCUUCGGGUUGUAAAACCCUUUUGUUGGGAAAGAAAAGCAGCAGGUUAAUACCCCGCUGUUCUGACGGUACCCAAAGAAUAAGCACCGGCUAACUUCGUG
This 492-nucleotide ribosomal RNA is filed under the name uncultured bacterium. Its description in RNAcentral is "partial 16S ribosomal RNA". It matches the Rfam family "Bacterial small subunit ribosomal RNA", at positions 29 to 507 of the family's 1533-position model. The record is from RNAcentral.